This 400-nucleotide ribosomal RNA is filed under the name uncultured bacterium. Its description in RNAcentral is "bacterial SSU rRNA". It matches the Rfam family "Bacterial small subunit ribosomal RNA", at positions 355 to 772 of the family's 1533-position model. The record is from RNAcentral.
UGGGGAAUCUUGCGCAAUGGGCGAAAGCCUGACGCAGCCAUGCCGCGUGAAUGAUGAAGGUCUUAGGAUUGUAAAAUUCUUUCACCGGGGACGAUAAUGACGGUACCCGGAGAAGAAGCCCCGGCUAACUUCGUGCCAGCAGCCGCGGUAAUACGAAGGGGGCUAGCGUUGCUCGGAAUUACUGGGCGUAAAGGGCGCGUAGGCGGAUCGUUAAGUCAGAGGUGAAAUCCCAGGGCUCAACCCUGGAACUGCCUUUGAUACUGGCGAUCUUGAGUAUGAGAGAGGUAUGUGGAACUCCGAGUGUAGAGGUGAAAUUCGUAGAUAUUCGGAAGAACACCAGUGGCGAAGGCGACAUACUGGCUCAUUACUGACGCUGAGGCGCGAAAGCGUGGGGAGCAAA